This is a small nuclear RNA of Cebus imitator (Panamanian white-faced capuchin), 136 nucleotides long. Its record names the gene U4. It matches the Rfam family "U4 spliceosomal RNA". From Rfam's summary of the family: U4 small nuclear RNA (U4 snRNA) is a component of the major U2-dependent spliceosome. The structure of U4 snRNA from yeast and human has been reported. The record is from Ensembl. Lineage: Eukaryota; Metazoa; Chordata; Mammalia; Primates; Cebidae.
AGCUUUGCGCAGUGGCAGUAUCGUAGCCAAUGAGGUUUAUCUGAGGCGUGAUUAUUGCUAAUUGAAAACUUCCCAAUACCCCGCUGUGACGACUUGCAAUACAGUCACUGGCAAUUUUUGACAGUCUCUAUGGAGA